RNAcentral lists this long non-coding RNA (135 nucleotides) under Ictidomys tridecemlineatus (thirteen-lined ground squirrel). RNAcentral's name for it is "lncRNA (ENSSTOG00000030445.1)". Lineage: Eukaryota; Metazoa; Chordata; Mammalia; Rodentia; Sciuridae. The record is from RNAcentral.
CUGGGAACCUUACCUGGCCCAACCUGUGAGAAGACAGAAGAAGAGAAACUUGCCCUUUGUUGAUUCUCAUCGUGCUCCCAUCAAACUGUCAAAGAUAUUGAAGGACAGAGACCUGAACUCUGCCACUGGGCUCAG